Otolemur garnettii (small-eared galago) is the source of this 134-nucleotide small nucleolar RNA. Lineage: Eukaryota; Metazoa; Chordata; Mammalia; Primates; Galagidae. The record is from Ensembl.
AGAGGACAUAGUUAGAGCUUGGAGUUUAGGCCACUUUGGCCGUGAACUCACAAGGGUAGGUGGUGUGCUACAUGCUAACCCCACAAGGGUCUCUGGCCCAGUGAUGGAGUUUGACAGUAAUCCUUGCUACAAGU